Phyllostomus discolor (pale spear-nosed bat) is the source of this 450-nucleotide long non-coding RNA. RefSeq lists it as uncharacterized. The record is from RefSeq and is a predicted model, not a curated record. The transcript has 3 exons. Lineage: Eukaryota; Metazoa; Chordata; Mammalia; Chiroptera; Phyllostomidae.
GCACGAGGCACGCACUCACUUUCUCCUCCUCUGUCCCCCACGAAUGUCGCAGGACCGACCACACCCAAAGGCAUCCAGACUCCAGCCGCCCGCUCACCCGCCCGCACCACGCCACCCUCACCCGCAAGCACCUCUGAGCCGGACAGUGGCUCCCCAGAGGCGGACACAUCUCUUAGUGCCGGGGGCUCCUCCACGGAGACGCCCCCUCGGGACAGUGCCAGUGGGCCCGGUGUGACAGAUGCCGCGUCAGCACCCCGGACACCGUCCACAGACCCCCAGGCACCCGCUGCCGGACCUGGCUCCCAGGCACCCAGCGUGGCUCCCCCGCCCUCACUCACUCCGGCCCCCGGUGGCCCGGGGACAGCAGGGACCCCGGCAGAGACGGCCCCCUCCAGCGCCUUCCCUGCAGACACCGCACACAGCAGCUCGGCUGCCUCACCCACACGCACC